RNAcentral lists this ribosomal RNA (477 nucleotides) under uncultured bacterium. RNAcentral describes it as "bacterial SSU rRNA". It matches the Rfam family "Bacterial small subunit ribosomal RNA", at positions 335 to 800 of the family's 1533-position model. The record is from RNAcentral.
ACUCCUACGUGAGGCAGCAUGAGGGAAAUAAUUUGGGACAAUGGGCGGGGAGCCUGAUCCAGCCAUGCCGCGUGCAGGGAAGACUGCCCUAUGGGUUGUAAAACUGCUUUUGUACAGGAAGAAAACACUCCCUCGUGAUGGGANCUUGACGGUACUGUAAGAAUAAGGAUCGGCUAACUCCGUGCCAGCAGCCGCGGUAAUACGGAGGAUCCAAGCGUUAUCCGGAAUCAUUGGGUUUAAAGGGUCCGUAGGUGGAUGAUUAAGUCAGAGGUGAAAAUCCCUGACUCAACUGUAGAAUUGCCUUUGAUACUGGUUGUCUUGAAUUAUUGUGAAGUAUUAGAAUAUGUGGUGUAGCGGUGAAAUGCAUAGAUAUCACAUAGAAUACCGAUUGCGAAGGCAGAUUACUAACAAUACAUUGACACUGAUGGACGAAAGCGUGGGGAGCGAACAGGAUUAGAUACCCUGGUAGGAUAGCGU